RNAcentral lists this ribosomal RNA (497 nucleotides) under uncultured bacterium. RNAcentral describes it as "partial 16S ribosomal RNA". It matches the Rfam family "Bacterial small subunit ribosomal RNA", at positions 28 to 507 of the family's 1533-position model. The record is from RNAcentral.
GACGAACGCUGGCGGCGUGCCUAAUACAUGCAAGUUGAGCGCUGAAGGUUGGUACUUGUACCAACUGGAUGAGCAGCGAACGGGUGAGUAACGCGUGGGGAAUCUGCCUUUGAGCGGGGGACAACAUUUGGAAACGAAUGCUAAUACCGCAUAAAAACUUUAAACACAAGUUUUAAGUUUGAAAGAUGCAAUUGCAUCACUCAAAGAUGAUCCCGCGUUGUAUUAGCUAGUUGGUGAGGUAGAGGCUCACCAAGGCGAUGAUACAUAGCCGACCUGAGAGGGUGAUCGGCCACAUUGGGACUGAGACACGGCCCAAACUCCUACGGGAGGCAGCAGUAGGGAAUCUUCGGCAAUGGACGAAAGUCUGACCGAGCAACGCCGCGUGAGUGAAGAAGGUUUUCGGAUCGUAAAACUCUGUUUGUAGAGAAGAGCGUUGGUGAGAGUGGAAAGCUCAUCAAGUGACGGUAACUACCCAGAAAGGGACGGCUAACUACGUG